This 1428-nucleotide ribosomal RNA is filed under the name Pectobacterium brasiliense. Its description in RNAcentral is "bacterial SSU rRNA". It matches the Rfam family "Bacterial small subunit ribosomal RNA". The record is from RNAcentral. Lineage: Bacteria; Pseudomonadati; Pseudomonadota; Gammaproteobacteria; Enterobacterales; Pectobacteriaceae.
CCUGGGCGCAGGCUACACAUGCAGUCGAGCGGUAGCACAGAAGAGCUUGCUCUUUGGGUGACGAGCGGCGGACGGGUGAGUAAUGUCUGGGAAACUGCCUGAUGGAGGGGGAUAACUACUGGAAACGGUAGCUAAUACCGCAUAACCUCGCAAGAGCAAAGAGGGGGACCUUCGGGCCUCUCGCCAUCAGAUGUGCCCAGAUGGGAUUAGCUAGUAGGUGAGGUAAUGGCUCACCUAGGCGACGAUCCCUAGCUGGUCUGAGAGGAUGACCAGCCACACUGGAACUGAGACACGGUCCAGACUCCUACGGGAGGCAGCAGUGGGGAAUAUUGCACAAUGGGCGCAAGCCUGAUGCAGCCAUGCCGCGUGUGUGAAGAAGGCCUUCGGGUUGUAAAGCACUUUCAGCGGGGAGGAAGGCGGUAAGGUUAAUAACCUUAUCGAUUGACGUUACCCGCAGAAGAAGCACCGGCUAACUCCGUGCCAGCAGCCGCGGUAAUACGGAGGGUGCAAGCGUUAAUCGGAAUGACUGGGCGUAAAGCGCACGCAGGCGGUCUGUUAAGUUGGAUGUGAAAUCCCCGGGCUUAACCUGGGAACUGCAUUCAAAACUGACAGGCUAGAGUCUUGUAGAGGGGGGUAGAAUUCCAGGUGUAGCGGUGAAAUGCGUAGAGAUCUGGAGGAAUACCGGUGGCGAAGGCGGCCCCCUGGACAAAGACUGACGCUCAGGUGCGAAAGCGUGGGGAGCAAACAGGAUUAGAUACCCUGGUAGUCCACGCUGUAAACGAUGUCGAUUUGGAGGUUGUGCCCUUGAGGCGUGGCUUCCGGAGCUAACGCGUUAAAUCGACCGCCUGGGGAGUACGGCCGCAAGGUUAAAACUCAAAUGAAUUGACGGGGGCCCGCACAAGCGGUGGAGCAUGUGGUUUAAUUCGAUGCAACGCGAAGAACCUUACCUACUCUUGACAUCCAGAGAACUUAGCAGAGAUGCUUUGGUGCCUUCGGGAACUCUGAGACAGGUGCUGCAUGGCUGUCGUCAGCUCGUGUUGUGAAAUGUUGGGUUAAGUCCCGCAACGAGCGCAACCCUUAUCCUUUGUUGCCAGCGAUUCGGUCGGGAACUCAAAGGAGACUGCCGGUGAUAAACCGGAGGAAGGUGGGGAUGACGUCAAGUCAUCAUGGCCCUUACGAGUAGGGCUACACACGUGCUACAAUGGCGUAUACAAAGAGAAGCGACCUCGCGAGAGCAAGCGGACCUCAUAAAGUACGUCGUAGUCCGGAUUGGAGUCUGCAACUCGACUCCAUGAAGUCGGAAUCGCUAGUAAUCGUAGAUCAGAAUGCUACGGUGAAUACGUUCCCGGGCCUUGUACACACAGCCGGUCACACCAUGGGAGUGGGUUGCAAAAGAAGUAGGUAGCUUAACCUUCGGGAGGGCGCUAC